This 378-nucleotide ribosomal RNA is filed under the name uncultured Gonostomum. Its description in RNAcentral is "SSU rRNA". It matches the Rfam family "Eukaryotic small subunit ribosomal RNA", at positions 193 to 575 of the family's 1831-position model. The record is from RNAcentral. Lineage: Eukaryota; Ciliophora; Spirotrichea; Sporadotrichida; Oxytrichidae.
GGAAAGGGGUGUAUUUAUUAGAUAACAAACCAAUAUUCCUCGUGUCUAUUGUGACGACUCAUAAUAACUGAUCGGAUCGCAUGGGCUUUGCCCGCGACAAAUCAUUCAAGUUUCUGCCCCAUCAGCUUUCGAUGGUAGUGUAUUGGACUACCAUGGCUUUAACGGGUAACGGAGGAUUAGGGUUCGAUUCCGGAGAGGGAGCCUGAGAAACGGCUACCACAUCUAAGGGAGGCAGCAGGCGCGUAAAUUACCCAAUCGCGACUCGCGGAGGUAGUGACAAGAAAUAACGGACCGAAGCCUAUGUUUCGGGAUUGCAAUGAGUAGAAUUUAAACCCCUUUACGAGGAUCAAUUGGAGGGCAAGUCUGGUGCCAGCAGCC